AUCCAGGUAGCUUCCUGCGCCUAAAGCAUAUGCAAUGAUCGGUAGACGUAGAUGCAGUUGAAGGAUAGCAGCGAAGACUGCUACUCGCAGCUAUGAUCAUAUUCUGGUAUCCACCGCGACAUGCUCGGAAGGAGACAGCGCGCAGUCAAGGUUCCGAUUUGUUCAUGCUCACGAUGGCGAUGAAUGAUCACAUAAGCACUCUACACACAUCAUUUUCAGCUGGACUGCAUCCGCAUCUUGGGUUCAGUUCGGUGAAUUCUUUCUUUCUGAUACCACUCGUUCCUAUAGUGACACUGCUCACUCACUACCAGGGUCAAGUUGUUCUCUUGCAGAAAAGGAGAAAGCGAAUGAGUAAAUUAAACUAGAAUGGGUGGCCAUUUCUAUUUAGAUACAAUACUAGUAGAAA
Molecule: long non-coding RNA, 406 nt
Filed under: Oryza brachyantha (malo sina)
Lineage: Eukaryota; Viridiplantae; Streptophyta; Magnoliopsida; Poales; Poaceae
Description: long non-coding RNA (OBRA_LNC002625)
Source: RNAcentral